This 537-nucleotide ribosomal RNA is filed under the name uncultured bacterium. Its description in RNAcentral is "bacterial SSU rRNA". It matches the Rfam family "Bacterial small subunit ribosomal RNA", at positions 28 to 526 of the family's 1533-position model. The record is from RNAcentral.
GACGAACGCUGGCGGCGUGCCUAAUACAUGCAAGUCGAACGCACUCUCGUUAGAUUGAAGAAGCUUGCUUCUGAUUGAUAACAUUUGAGUGAGUGGCGGACGGGUGAGUAACACGUGGGUAACCUGCCCUAAAGUGGGGGAUAACAUUUGGAAACAGAUGCUAAUACCGCAUAAAACCUAGCACCGCAUGGUGCAAGGUUGAAAGAUGGUUUCGGCUAUCACUUUAGGAUGGACCCGCGGUGCAUUAGUUAGUUGGUGAGGUAAAGGCUCACCAAGACCGUGAUGCAUAGCCGACCUGAGAGGGUAAUCGGCCACACUGGGACUGAGACACGGCCCAGACUCCUACGGGAGGCAGCAGUAGGGAAUCUUCCACAAUGGACGAAAGUCUGAUGGAGCAACGCCGCGUGAGUGAAGAAGGUUUUCGGAUCGUAAAACUCUGUUGUUGGAGAAGAACGUAUUUGAUAGUAACUGAUCAGGUAGUGACGGUAUCCAACCAGAAAGCCACGGCUAACUACGUGCCAGCCGCCGCCGUAACAC